RNAcentral lists this ribosomal RNA (560 nucleotides) under uncultured archaeon. RNAcentral's name for it is "bacterial SSU rRNA". It matches the Rfam family "Archaeal small subunit ribosomal RNA", at positions 326 to 888 of the family's 1478-position model. The record is from RNAcentral.
CGGGGUGCAGCAGGCGCGAAAACUCCACAAUGCGCGAAAGCGUGAUGGGGUUAACCCGAGUGCCGUCCGAUGAGGAUGGCUUUUCUUCAGUUUAAGGAUCUGGAGGAAUAAAGGGGGGGCAAGACUGGUGUCAGCCGCCGCGGUAAUACCAGCCCCCUGAGUGGUAGGGACGAUUAUUUGGCCUAAAGCGUCCGUAGCCUGUUUGGGAAGUCUUUCGUUAAAUCCGACGAUUCCAUCGUUGGGACGCGGAAGAUACUGCCAGACUUGAGGACGGGAGAGGUCGACGGUAGUCCUAGGGUAGGGGUGAAAUCCUAUAAUCCUAGGAGGACCACCAGUGGCGAAGGCGGUCGACUAGAACGUGCCUGACGGUGAUGGACGAAAGCUGGGGGAGCGAACCGGAUUAGACACCCGGGUAGUCCCAGCUGUAAACGAUGCGAGCUAGGUGUUGGAGCAACUACGAGUUGCUCCAGUGCCGCAGAGAAGUUGUUAAGCUCGCCGCCUGGGAAGUACGGCCGCAAGGCUGAAACUUAAAGGAAUUGGCGGGGGAGCACAAGGGCGAA